GCCCCUAUCGUCUAGAGGUUAGGACGGCACCCUUUCAAGGUGCAGACAGGGGUUCAAUUCCCCUUGGGGGCACCA
RNAcentral lists this transfer RNA (75 nucleotides) under Chloroflexota bacterium. RNAcentral describes it as "Chloroflexi bacterium tRNA-Glu". It matches the Rfam family "tRNA". From Rfam's summary of the family: Transfer RNA (tRNA) molecules are approximately 80 nucleotides in length. Their secondary structure includes four short double-helical elements and three loops (D, anti-codon, and T loops). The record is from RNAcentral. RNAcentral also lists the same sequence under 1 other name. Lineage: Bacteria; Bacillati; Chloroflexota.